Molecule: transfer RNA, 34 nt
Filed under: Paloue coccinea
Lineage: Eukaryota; Viridiplantae; Streptophyta; Magnoliopsida; Fabales; Fabaceae
Also listed under: 3 other names
Description: partial tRNA-Leu
Source: RNAcentral
GACUUAAAAUCCGUCGACUUUCGAAAUCGUGAGG